AGGGCGUGUGGUGGAUGCCUUGGCACUAGGAGGCGAUGAAGGACGUGGCAAGCUGCGAAAAGCCUCGGAGAGUCGCAAGCAGACUUUGAUCCGGGGAUUUCCGAAUGGGGAAACCUGGCAGGGGUAAUGCUCUGUCGUCCCUUACCUGAACACAUAGGGUUUGGGCCGCCAACGGGGAGAAGUGAAACAUCUCAGUACCCCCAGGAAAAGAAAGUAAUAACGACUCCGUUAGUAGCGGCGAGCGAACGCGGAAGAGCCUAAACCAAUGUCAUGUAAGCUCGUGAGCGUUGUGGCAUUGGCGUCGUGGGAGUCACCGUUGCGGGUCACGGACCGCAGGUGGAGUUACCAAGCAUGGAUCUAGUAGAACAAGCUGGAAAGCUUGACCAUAGAGGGUGAAAGUCCCGUAUACGAAAGGUUGCAUGCCUCCACUGGUGGCCACCCGAGUACCGCGGAACACGAGAAAUUCUGUGGGAAUUUGCGAGGACCAUCUCGUAAGGCUAAGUACUCCCUAGUGACCGAUAGCGGACCAGUACCGUGAGGGAAAGGUGAAAAGAACCCCGGUAAGGGGAGUGAAAUAGAACCUGAAACCGCAUGUUUACAAUCGGUGGGAGGACGUUGGCUUCGCGCCUGUCCGACCGCGUACCUUUUGCAUAAUGGGCUGGCUAGUUGUGGUAUGCAGCGAGGUUAAGCUUUUAGGCGAGCCGUAGGGAAACCGAGUCUGAAUAGGGCGUUUAGUUGCAUGCUGCAGACGUGAAGCCGGGUGAUCUAUCCUUGACCAGGGUGAAGCGUGGGUAAAACCACGUGGAGGCCCGAACCAGUGUCGGUUGAAAACGGCUUGGAUGAGUUGGGGAUAGGGGUGAAAGGCCAAUCAAACCCGGGAAUAGCUCGUUCUCCCCGAAAUAGCUUUAGGGCUAGCCUUUGGCGAUGGAUUGCGGAGGUAGAGCACUGGAAGGGCUAGGGGGCCUAUAAGCUUACCGAACCCUACCAAACUCCGAAUGCCGCAUAUCUUAGCCAGGGAGUCAGACUGCGAGGGAUAAGCUCCGUAGUCGAAAGGGAAACAGCCCAGACCGCCAGCUAAGGCCCCUAAGUGCAGGCUAAGUGGAAAAGGAUGUCGAGAUGCACAGACAGCCGGGAGGUUGGCUUAGAAGCAGCCAUCCUUUAAAGAAAGCGUAAUAGCUCACCGGUCGAGUGACUCGGUGCCGAAAAUGUACCGGGGCUAAGCCUGCCGCCGAAGCUGCGGAUUUAUAGGAACUCCGGUUCCUAUGAGUGGUAGGGGAGCGUUCUGUGUUGCUUGAAGUCAGACCGUAAGGACUGGUGGACGGCACAGAAGUGAGACUGCCAGCACGAGUAGCGAUAAAGAGGGUGAGAACCCCUCUCGCCGGAAGUCUAAGGUUUCCUGAGGAAGGUCAGUCCGCUCAGGGUUAGGCGGCCUCUUAGUCGAGGACGAAGGUCGUAGACGAAGAGAAGCAGGUGAAUAUUCCUGCCCCGCCUGAAUAACGUUUGACCGAAGGGGUGACGCAGGAGGGUAGCUCAGCCUGCGAUUGGAAGUGCAGGUUGCAAGCAAGUAGCCGGGGGGACUAGGCAAAUCCGGGCCCCCAUUCCAAACGGUGAGAUGUGAUGCCGAGGUCUUCGGACCGCAAAGUGAGUGAUCCCACGCUGCCAAGAAAAACCUCGUAGGGAGUAAUUCAGGCGACCGUACCGCAAACCGACACAGGUAGACAGGGAGAGAAUCCCAAGGCGAACGAGUUAACACUGGUUAAGGAACUCGGCAAAUUGGCUCCGUAACUUCGGGAGAAGGAGCGCCCCGUUAGCGUGAAGGACCUUGCGUCCGGAGCGUGAGGGGGUCACAGAAACCAGGCCCAGGCGACUGUUUACUAAAAACACAGGUCUCUGCAAAGUCGAAGUCGACGUAUAGGGACUGACGCCUGCCCGGUGCCGGAAGGUUAAGAGGACGGGUUAGCCCUAGGGCGAAGCUCAGAAUUGAAGCCCCGGUAAACGGCGGCCGUAACUAUAACGGUCCUAAGGUAGCGAAAUUCCUUGUCGGGUAAGUUCCGACCCGCACGAAUGGCGUAACGAUCUGGGCGCUGUCUCGACCAGUGGCUCGGCGAAACUGAAGUGCCGGUGAAGAUGCCGGCUACCCGCAGCUGGACAGAAAGACCCCGGCACCUUUACUACAGCUUAGUACUGGGUUUUGGUAUGUCGUGUGCAGAAUAGGUGGGAGGCUUUGAAACCAGGCCGCUAGGCUUGGUGGAGCCAACCGUGAGAUACCACCCUCGUUAUGCUGGAACUCUAACCCAGGUCCGUUAUCCGGAUCGGGGACAGUGCUUGGUGGGUAGUUUAACUGGGGCGGUUGCCUCCCAAAGGGUAACGGAGGCGCCCAAAGGUUCCCUCAGGCUGUUUGGAAAUCAGCCGCAGAGUGUAAAGGCAUAAGGGAGCUUGACUGCGAGACUGACAAGUCGAGCAGGUGGGAAACCAGGGCUUAGUGAUCCGGCGGUUCCGUAUGGAAGGGCCGUCGCUCAUCGAAUAAAAGGUACGCCGGGGAUAACAGGCUUAUCUCCCCCAAGAGUUC
This 2569-nucleotide ribosomal RNA is filed under the name marine metagenome. RNAcentral's name for it is "bacterial LSU rRNA". It matches the Rfam family "Bacterial large subunit ribosomal RNA", at positions 14 to 2501 of the family's 2925-position model. The record is from RNAcentral.